UACGUAGGGUGCGAGCGUUAAUCGGAAUUACUGGGCGUAAAGCGUGUGCAGGCGGGCUGUCAAGUGGUGUAUGAAAUCUCCCGGCUUAACCGGGAUAGGUUAUGCCAGACUGGCAGUCUAGAGGCUGAGAGAGGAGCGUGGAAUUCCACGUGUAGCAGUGAAAUGCGUAGAGAUGUGGAGGAAUACCGAUGGCGAAGGCAGCCCCCUGGGCCAAUACUGACGCUCAUGCACGAAAGCGUGGGGAGCAAACAGG
Molecule: ribosomal RNA, 253 nt
Filed under: uncultured bacterium
Lineage: Bacteria
Description: partial 16S ribosomal RNA
Rfam family: Bacterial small subunit ribosomal RNA
Source: RNAcentral